This 5792-nucleotide long non-coding RNA is filed under the name Vitis vinifera (wine grape). RNAcentral describes it as "long non-coding RNA (VVIN_LNC000622)". Lineage: Eukaryota; Viridiplantae; Streptophyta; Magnoliopsida; Vitales; Vitaceae. The record is from RNAcentral.
AAGGACAUACUCUUGCCCUAAUUCGGAGACCCGAAACCUGGAAAAGUCAAAAGUUUUUGGGAAAUUUGGUGGAAGAUGUUUGAAUUGAAAUGUGGAGAGUGGGUUCACCAGGUGUGCCAUAUCAGGGACAUCUUCUUCAACCUUGAUCAGCCAGGAACUGAUGGUGGGUUGGCAGUGAGAUUCAGGUAAUCCAAGACACAGAAUUGUGCGCCUAGAAAGAUAUAAACCCCAGGAGGUUCCAUUGGUGGGAAGGAUCGGGAAACGGGAAGGGAGUGGAUGGAGUCUGGAGGGGACACAAGCAUGCCAGGAGGAGCAGACUGAUCGGAGACAGAGGAGAUCGAAAUGGGAAUUCAGGCGCUGGGCAAUUAGGAGAAGGAGGUCUUUGGGGAGUUGAGACCAUCUUGCCAUGGAUGAGUUGAGUUGAAGCUUUCUUGAUUGAGUUUUUGCCUGAAUACUGCCUCAAGUCUACCGAUGGGGAUCAAUCCAAAGACUAUUGCUCUUGUAAAAGGAACAUUCUGUGAAUAAGUGUUUCAAGUUUGUGCAUUUGCCUCAAGUCAACAUAUUGGGUUCGAUUCAGGAAGACGUUGGCUAAGUGAAGACAAAGGAUCAUUCCACUUCCACAAGGAAGCGUUUCAGAGUUUUUCAUUUAAGACUCCACGUGGAAACAAAAUCUAUGCAUAUAUUUCAUUUUAUGUUUAGAAAUUAGAACUCGGAAAGGGGUUGCAGAAACUCUACGAUUUCGUAAAGGCUGUUCUCUCGAGACUGGCCUAGGAUAGUGUCACUUUGAAUUAGUACCAAAAUUUUAGGCUUUAAUUAAAGGGUCAAUGCAUCUCUAUCCAUGUCACCAUCUUAGCGCCAACCCAAUCUCUUGUCAGCUUAUGGUUUUUCAAAUCAAGAUGCAUUUGUGAAUCUGAUAUACUUUUGUCAUAUCUUAUGAUGGAGGUGGUGGGGGUUUAUGAUCCUCCUACAUUGGUCUAAUUUUCUACUAGGGAAUUUUUUUGAAUUUUUUUUAUGAAGGUUUCAUUAGUUUGUUUCUGCCAUCUAAAGAAUGAUUCUAAAAAAUAAAAGGCAAUUCACCUCAUUGAGCCUCAUCAACCAUUUUGAUCUUCAGACUUGUAUAUUGGGUGGAACCAUCUAAAAAAUAUUUUCUUGACGCUUGUUUAUAAAUGAGAUAAUCGAUUAAAAUGGAUGAAAUCUUCCUCACUUUGAAAAACUAACCCUUUACCUUUUUUCAAUAUAAAAAAUAACCGUUUUUGACAAAAAUGUCCUCAUAUUUUUCUUGUAAAAAUGACAAUUUCUUUUAAAAUACACAUGUAAAUAAUAAAAAUGUUGAAAGGUAUUUAUGUCAAAAAUGGAUUACUCUUCAAAUUCAAAAAUGCGAAAGGUUAGUUUACAAAUUUGGGAUAUUUUCAUCCUUUUUAAUCAAUUAAUCCUUUAUAAAAUAUAUUUAAACUUUAAACUCGCACAACAUACAUAUAAGAAAAGGCACUAAACACAAUGUGACCCAUAUAAUAACAUAUAUAAAACAAAUGGGUAUGAAUAUGGUUUAUUCCCCAUUUGUUUAUUUGUGAUCCAUAUAUGUGAAUUUUUGUAUUUUCACACAUAUUCAUGUUUGUUUGUGUUUGAAAUGGAGCAAUUUUGGGUAUAAAUGAGCACUUCAUUUCAAAACACAAAUGUGAAUUUUUGGUAAGUUCCAAAAUCAUAUAUAUUAUUUUUAUUUUUAUUUUAUAAAAUUAAGAAUAUUUAUAUAUUAUAUUUUUAUCCAAAAUGGAUUCGGGUUAGAGAUAUAAAUGCCAAAAAUGCAUAUAGAGAUGCCAUUUGGUUUAGGUGGUAAGGUCCCAAGACUACUAUUGUGAAUUUAAGUCCUAAUGUUUGAAUGCCUUUCACCUAUUCCCCCACCAAGAAAAGAGCAUAAAAACACAACAUUAAAGUAACCUUAAUGAAACAAGAAAAACACUACUCUGGGAAGCAAGGCUCUGAUGUGAGCUCUAAGUCCUAGAAAGGAUCUUUUGCAUUGAUAAACUACCAAUUGACCUAAGAGGUACCCAUUUGUCUCAUGGGCAACCUUCUUUGGGCUGAACAGAUUGAGAAAAUUAAAUAAGCUCUCCCAAUUGUUCCAGAUGCUUUUGAGAAAGUGACAUUAGCAAUCCAUUGAUCUAAAAGCUCUAACCGUUAGCCACCUGUCUCUUGGACAACCUCUUUGAAUUAAGACUUAUUCCACCCAUAAGGCAACUCUACUACUAUGUUAGGUAUUAGUUGAUCUAAAAGUUUAAGUUUUAAGUUGUUAGGUAAUGGAUUAAUAAUAUAUAUCAAGCUUAUCUGGGCCAAACCCAAGCAUGACCACCAAGACCAGGUCCCACGUAUGACACAGCAGUAGGUGACUCCACAGAGGUAUUUCAGGCUCAGCUGCCUGCAGCAUUGCUCCGUACUAUUCCAAGUUGUGUUCCCACUUCAAGUUCCUAGUAAUGAAGGCCAAAUUGCAGGGUCAAUGGUGGAUUAAAGAUUAAGGCUUCUCUCUCGGUUGGCCUGAUGGAAAGGACCUCUCUCAGUUUCUUCAAACACCAAGCCAUGAUUUUGAAGGGAUAGAGCGUAACAGACUGGAGCUGAACCUUUUGUUUGAACCAUCUUUCAUAUUACAACUCCUUACAGAAUCUCCGAAAAGAACAAGGGAAAUUUCAUUCUCAAGUUACUUUCAAUAUCCCCUGUUUUUUUCCCAGAUUUCAAUGAAACCUAAGCCUCUAUCUCAAAUAAAAACAACCAAAUGAAGCACACACAACUCCUUUAAAUGACUGACCCCUUAAAUUUCUAUGGCUACACUGGGCAUCUUUGAUCUGUCUUCAUGUGACUUGAACUCCUUGGUAUUUCAGGAUCUCUACAAUAAGCUCACCUUCACCAGAACCCACGUAUCUUCCACACAUUUCACCAUCUCUGGUAAACAAAAAUGUAGGAACUUCAAACACAUUCAAGUCCCUCAAAAACUGCAUGCAGCUAUUGUUCUCAUCGCCAUUCAUCCUUGCAAAAACAACUGCAUCUGCUAUCUGCCUUGACAGCUUCAACACAGUUGGAUGUACCACAAGGACCACAAUGUUUCAAGCCCACAUCAAGCACUACAAGCAUAUGGUCGACCUUAUGAUCUCCUAUCAACUUCUCCACGUCUUCUCUGCAGUGCCGCUGUGCCACAGUAGAAUAAUUGUUGCCAUAGUAUAAUAUAUCUCCCACAAAUUCAUCAGGGCCAAUUCCUUCCUCAUGGAUCUUUUCCAUGCUCUUAUCAAAGCUAAAAUGUGGAACUUUCUCAAUAUCUUCUCUCUUGCAAAGCUCUCUAGUCUUGUCUGAUUCAUCCCCCAUUACUAGGAGGAACUGGACAUCGUUGCAAGUUCGACUAAGCUACACCAUGAAAGGGUAGAUCUUACUACUGUGAUAGCUAUGGCACGCAGAAUACUCCACAACAACAGGCUUGUUUUUGGCCAUCCAAAGAGCUUCAUCAAACUCUUCAAUGCUGUGUACCUGCUUUACUUUUUCAUCACUUUCAACUUUCCUGCCACUGGAAGUGGCUGUAGACUUUAUGAUGAAGGGAAUGUACCUUGAUCAGAAUUUUGCUGCUGAAGUUUUCAACUUAGAACUGAUACAGAGAAUGGAGGAAUAAGGGGAGGAUGAUGGAUCUUUGUUGAGAAAGACUGAAAGUGAUGAAGGAAGUUCAAAGAAUAGGUGAGCAGUUGUUGCCAUGGAAGAGUGGGGAAUGUAUUUGUUUGGAGGCAAGGCUCCAGAACAACAGAAGUGUGAGUUGAGUGGGUGGAAUGUAGUUGAAGUUGAGAGUAUAAAGCAAUCAAGGGACAAGGGAAAAAUGGAUUUGAAUGGGCAGGAGGGGAUGAAAAAUCACAUCCACUUAUUGGGUUUGUGAUUCAUGUUAUCCACAUUACACUUUCUCCUCCCACCAAACUUCUGAUGACUUCAUGUUAUCCACACAUCAGAUUUUAUAGGCAGACCCUUGUUAUCAUUUUCUUUCCUUUUCCUUUGGGGGCACUAGCACUAUAUCUUAUUGGAUCGUGCUAUGUGUUGAUCUAACGUUAGGUUUCACUUCAAGUGAUUAAGAAAGAUAGUAAAGUGUGUGAUAAGAUAAAUACCCAAAUAUGAGUUCAGCUCACUUCCUCUAACAUAGUCCUCAAGUUCUAAGAUUUGCUCAGAAUAUUCACAGGAGAAAUACAAAGAAACAUCGUCAAAAGGUGAAUCUCAUUCAUUUUUCUACAAACAAAGCACAAAAUUUGAAUACUGAAUAUGAGAUCAAAGGUAAGUUCAAUACAUGUAAUAACAAACAAGAAUGCUGUAUAACCUCAUGGUUUGUGUUGAUACAAGCAAUUGGAUCAUAUCAUAUAGGCAUAAAAAAUCCUAGUAUCUUAAUAGCUAGCUUAGGAGUGUUUCUAGAUAAACAGGGUGUAUCAAACAGGAGCAAUAUCGAAUUUCUAUAUCAGUGUCAAACAGACACAAUGGGCAAACACUGUAAACAAAAUUCAAUGUUUUGUAUUCAAGAGAGUACAUUUCCCAGGCAAAGGAGCAUCAUAUAUCUCCGAUAUUAUCGAUAUAAACCCAAGCUGGCGGUGACCAAAUCACCUUGGAAUAAUUGGGAAAACUCGAUAAAGGCCCCAAAUUACCAUUCUCUAAGUUGAAUAUACCUAUUCCUGUAUAUGCAUCAUCUUCUUGGUCAUUUGGGAAGAAGAAGCUGUUUGUAUAAUAAAUACAGUUCCCUUCACACCCACAAAAUUCAGAAGCCACAGCUGAGAAUGUACUUUUCUCACCCAAAAACAGGAUUCGAUCACCCAAGUUUUCAACCUCAACCCACAUAUGCCCAAUUUGAUUUAGCUUGAAAACCUUAAACCGGACUGCUCUAUUCAUUAUGCCAUGAAUCCCUUGAUCAAAGUAUGUGUUGACCAUCAACAAUUCGCCAUUGGACUCAACCAAGCUCUUCUUGUUGCCACCAAUCACUGAGUCAGCGAUCAAACUUAGAACUGGAGGUGAUCCAAUGGCCACAACUACAGUCCUUCCAGUGUUAUCAACGGCAUAGAAUUCUCCAUUAAAGAAUAUCAAAUCAUCACAAGAUGGCAUAUCAUCAAUUGUUUUCAACCUUUUGUUUCCAUGCCUAAACAUGGCCAAUUUUCCAGACACAUGAAUUGUAAGCAUUACAAAAUCUUCACCAUUGCUGGUGCUAGAAAAAGCAACCUUACCCUUGUGCAAGCUCCCCUCAUCAGCCUCUCCAGAUGGACGAUGAUUCAUGUACUGAAGGACAUACUCUUGCCCUAAUUCAGAGACCCGAAACCUGGAAAAGUCAAAAGUUUUUGGGAAAUUUGGUGGAAGAUGUUUGAAUUGAAAUGUGGAGAGUGGGUUCACCAGGUGUGCCAUAUCAGGGACAUCUUCUUCAACUUUGAUCAGCCAGGAGCCGAUGGUGGGUUGGCAGUGAGAUUCAGGUAAUCCAAGACACAGAAUUGUGCGCCUAGAAAGAUAUAAACCCCAGGAGGUUCCAUUGGUGGGAAGGAUCGGGAAACGGGAAGGGAGUGGGUGGGGUCUGGAGGGGACACAAGCAUGCCAGGAGGAGCAGACUGAUCGGAGACAGAGGAGAUCGAAAUGGGUAUUCAGGCGCUGGGCAAUUAGGAGAAGGAGGUCUUUGGGGAGUUGAGACCAUCUUGCCAUGGAUGAGUUGAGUUGACGCUUUCUUGAUUGAGUUUGUGCCUGCAUACUCCCUCAAAUCUACUGAUCGGGAUUGAUUCAAAGACUAUUGCUCUUGAAAAAAGGAAUAUUCUGUG